Molecule: unclassified non-coding RNA, 336 nt
Filed under: soil metagenome
Description: partial contains 5.8S ribosomal RNA, internal transcribed spacer 2, and large subunit ribosomal RNA
Rfam family: 5.8S ribosomal RNA (bases 1-120)
Source: RNAcentral
GAUGAAGAACGUAGCGAAAUGCGAUAAGUAAUGUGAAUUGCAGAAUUCAGUGAAUCAUCGAAUCUUUGAACGCACAUUGCGCCCGCCAGUAUUCUGGCGGGCAUGCCUGUUCGAGCGUCAUUUCAACCAUCAAGCCCCAGGCUUGUGUUGGGGACCUGCGGCUGCCGCAGGCCCUGAAAACCAGUGGCGGGCUCGCUGUCACACCGGGCGUAGUAGAUUUUAUCUCGCUCAGGGCGUGCUGCGGGUUCCGGCCGUUAAAAAGCCUUUUUUACCCAAGGUUGACCUCGGAUCAGGUAGGAAGACCCGCUGAACUUAAGCAUAUCAAUAAGCGGAUGA